Molecule: ribosomal RNA, 468 nt
Filed under: uncultured bacterium
Lineage: Bacteria
Description: partial 16S ribosomal RNA
Rfam family: Bacterial small subunit ribosomal RNA
Source: RNAcentral
GACGAACGCUGGCGGCGUGCUUAACACAUGCAAGUCGAACGGAAAGGCCCUGCUUUUGUGGGGUGCUCGAGUGGCGAACGGGUGAGUAACACGUGAGUAACCUGCCCUUGACUUUGGGAUAACUUCAGGAAACUGGGGCUAAUACCGGAUAGGAGCUCCUGCUGCAUGGUGGGGGUUGGAAAGUUUCGGCGGUUGGGGAUGGACUCGCGGCUUAUCAGCUUGUUGGUGGGGUAGUGGCUUACCAAGGCUUUGACGGGUAGCCGGCCUGAGAGGGUGACCGGCGACAUUGGGACUGAGAUACGGCGCAGACUCCUACGGGAGGCAGCAGUGGGAAAUAUUGCACAAUGGGCGGAAGCCUGAUGCAGCAACGCCGCGUGCGGGAUGACGGCCUUCGGGUUGUAAACCGCUUUCGCCUGUGACGAAGCGGGAGUGACGGUAAUGGGUAAAGAAGCACCGGCUAACUACGUG